GCAUUAAUAGUAUAAUGGCAAUACAGUUACCUUGUAAGUAACAAUUGGGAGUUCGAUUCUCUCUUAAUGUA
This is a non-coding RNA of Hanseniaspora opuntiae, 71 nucleotides long. The record is from Rfam. Lineage: Eukaryota; Fungi; Ascomycota; Saccharomycetes; Saccharomycodales; Saccharomycodaceae.